RNAcentral lists this ribosomal RNA (465 nucleotides) under uncultured bacterium. RNAcentral's name for it is "bacterial SSU rRNA". It matches the Rfam family "Bacterial small subunit ribosomal RNA", at positions 338 to 795 of the family's 1533-position model. The record is from RNAcentral.
CCUACGGGCUGCACCAGUGGGGAAUAUUGCACAAUGGGCGCAAGUCUGAUGCAGCCAUGCCGCGUGUAUGAAGAAGGCCCUAGGGUUGUAAAGUACUUUCAGUCGGGAGGAAGGCGCUGAUGCUAAUAUCAUCAACGAUUGACGUUACCGACAGAAGAAGCACCGGCUAACUCCGUGCCAGCAGCCGCGGUAAUACGGAGGGUGCAAGCGUUAAUCGGAAUUACUGGGCGUAAAGCGCACGCAGGCGGUUGAUUAAGUCAGAUGUGAAAUCCCCGGGCUUAACCUGGGAAUGGCAUCUAAGACUGGUCAGCUAGAGUCUUGUAGAGGGGGGUGGAAUUCCAUGUGUAGCGGUGAAAUGCGUAGAGAUGUGGAGGAAUACCGGUGGCGAAGGCGGCCCCCUGGACAAGGACUGACGCUCAGGUGCGAAAGCGUGGGGAGCAAACAGGAUUAGAUACCCGAGUAGUC